RNAcentral lists this ribosomal RNA (524 nucleotides) under Tiarina fusus. Its description in RNAcentral is "Tiarina fusa partial Bacterial large subunit ribosomal RNA". It matches the Rfam family "Bacterial large subunit ribosomal RNA", at positions 1123 to 1663 of the family's 2925-position model. Lineage: Eukaryota; Ciliophora; Prostomatea; Prorodontida; Colepidae. The record is from RNAcentral.
UUAAAGAGUGCGUAACAGCUCACUAGUCGAGCGAUCGGGCGUGGAUAAUAAUCGGGCAUUAAGCAUACUGCCGAAGCAAUAGCAUCGAAAGAUGGGUAGGGGAGCAUUCUAGUUGCGCUGAAGGUGAACUGUGAGGUUUGCUGGAGCGGCUAGAAAAGAAAAUGUAGGAAUAAGUAACGAUAAAGCAGGCGAGAAACCUGCUCACCGAUAGACUAAGGUUUCCUGAACAACGCUAAUCGGUUCAGGGUUAGUCGGGACCUAAGGCGAACCCGAACGGGGUAGUCGAUGGACAACGGGUUAAUAUUCCCGUACCAUCUAUUAUUGAUACCGAGGGACGGAGAAGGCUAAACCAUCCGGAUGUUGGUUACCGGUUUAAGCGUUAAAGGUGUUGAGAGACGGUGAAAACGUCUUGAGCUAAGGCGCGAAUACGAAGUACUAAGGUACUGAAGUGGUUGAUGUCAUACUUCCAAGAAAAGCUCGAAAUAUCAUAAAUAAUAGAUGCCUGUACCCGAAACCGACACAGG